RNAcentral lists this ribosomal RNA (606 nucleotides) under Vibrio sp. E39B. RNAcentral describes it as "partial 16S ribosomal RNA". The record is from RNAcentral. Lineage: Bacteria; Pseudomonadati; Pseudomonadota; Gammaproteobacteria; Vibrionales; Vibrionaceae.
CGGUCUACUUAACGBKUUACUCCGAAAGSHACGGCUCAAGGCCACAACCUCCAAGUAGACAUCGUUUACNGCGUGGACUACCAGGNUAUCUAAUCCUGUUUGCUCCCCACGCUUUCGCAUCUKADUDUCAGUWUCUGUCCAGGGGGCCGCCUUCCCCACCGGUAUUCCUUCAGAUCUCUACGCAUUUCACCGCUACACCUGAAAUUCUACCCCCCUCUACAGUACUCUAGCUUGCCAGUUUCAAAUGCUAUUCCGARGUUGAACCCCGGGCUUUCACAUCUGACUUAACAAACCACCUGCAUGCGCUUUACGCCCAGUAAUUCCGAUUAACGCUCGCACCCUCCGUAUUACCGCGGCUGCUGGCACGGAGUUAGCCGGUGCUUCUUCUGUCGCUAACGUCAAAUGAUGCUGCUAUUAACAACACCACCUUCCUCACGACUGAAAGUGCUUUACAACCCGAAGCCUUCUUCACACACGCGGCAUGGCUGCAUCAGGCUUGCGCCCAUUGUGCAAUAUUCCCCACUGCUGCCUCCCGUAGAGUCUGGACCGUGUCUCAGUUCCAGUGUGGCUGAUCAUCCUCUCANACCAGCUAGGGAUCGUCGCCUU